UCACCAAACUGGCAGGGGCAAGACCAUGAUCAAGAAGGUGGUUUUCCCAGGGUGAGGUUUAUCCACUGCACUCCAUGUGUGCUGACCCCUGCAAUUUCCCCAACUGUGGGACACUCAGCUGCAUAAUUUAUGGUAGUAGGGGACUGUGUUUGCACUUUCCCCUU
Small nuclear RNA from Nannospalax galili (Upper Galilee mountains blind mole rat), 164 nucleotides. Its record names the gene U1. It matches the Rfam family "U1 spliceosomal RNA". From Rfam's summary of the family: U1 is a small nuclear RNA (snRNA) component of the spliceosome (involved in pre-mRNA splicing). Its 5' end forms complementary base pairs with the 5' splice junction, thus defining the 5' donor site of an intron. NCBI's taxonomy places the organism in Eukaryota, Metazoa, Chordata, Mammalia, Rodentia, Spalacidae. The record is from Ensembl.